RNAcentral lists this ribosomal RNA (436 nucleotides) under uncultured Alistipes sp. Its description in RNAcentral is "bacterial SSU rRNA". It matches the Rfam family "Bacterial small subunit ribosomal RNA", at positions 349 to 782 of the family's 1533-position model. Lineage: Bacteria; Pseudomonadati; Bacteroidota; Bacteroidia; Bacteroidales; Rikenellaceae. The record is from RNAcentral.
CAGCAGUGAGGAAUAUUGGUCAAUGGACGCAAGUCUGAACCAGCCAUGCCGCGUGCAGGAAGACGGCUCUAUGAGUUGUAAACUGCUUUUGUAUUAGGGUAAACUCAGGUACGUGUACCUGACUGAAAGUAUAAUACGAAUAAGGAUCGGCUAACUCCGUGCCAGCAGCCGCGGUAAUACGGAGGAUCCAAGCGUUAUCCGGAUUUAUUGGGUUUAAAGGGUGCGUAGGCGGUUUGAUAAGUUAGAGGUGAAAUACCGGGGCUUAACUCCGGAACUGCCUCUAAUACUGUUGAACUAGAGAGUAGUUGCGGUAGGCGGAAUGUAUGGUGUAGCGGUGAAAUGCUUAGAGAUCAUACAGAACACCGAUUGCGAAGGCAGCUUACCAAACUAUAUCUGACGUUGAGGCACGAAAGCGUGGGGAGCAAACAGGAUUAGA